Molecule: long non-coding RNA, 2440 nt
Organism: Hemiscyllium ocellatum (epaulette shark)
Lineage: Eukaryota; Metazoa; Chordata; Chondrichthyes; Orectolobiformes; Hemiscylliidae
Exons: 4
Source: RefSeq, a predicted model, not a curated record
GUUCUAAGAGGAUUGCAGAAGCAGCCUCAGGGCAUUGAGCACAGACUGAAUGACUCAGUGACGCUUGGAUCAGGUCAGAUCAAAUUCUCAAGCAAACAGAUGGCUGGGGAUAUUCAGUAACAACGGUGAGGAGAGAGAGGAACAAUUCACAUUUCAAGGGACCCUUCCUCAAAACGGCCUGUUCUGAAGGAGCUUUCCCGCAGAAAUCACUGGAUUGAAAGCUUCUGGCAACAAAUGGCCACAAACCGAUCAAAGGUGAAAGUGACGGUGAACCAGACAGAGCAGUCAGUGGCUGCAUAAAGCAGGACGGCGUGGAUAUUGCACACGGGGACGGAGUACCUCAGGAAAUAAAACUGUUCCUGAUAAACAAUGGGAAUGUGUCUCAGGAUCAGGUCGAGGAUAAUGACCAGGAGAUCCGCCGCUGCCAUGGCCCCCAGGUGCUGACAGACCUGCUGAGCUCCCUCAGAAGUGAAUAGGCAAAGAACAAACUUUCACAAACAACUAACUAUGGAUACUGGUAAUAAAAAUACCAAAAUUGCUUGAGAAACGGAGAUCUUUGUCGAGGGUCACUGGAUCUGAAAGUUUAACACUGCAUUCAUUCCAGAAGAUGCUGCAACAUCUUCAGCAAUUUCUUAAGCAAUUUCUGUUUUUGGAAAAUUUCCAAAGAAGUACGUCAAAGAUGCUCAACCAUCCUGUCCAACAUGGAGAGCCGUACACUGGGAACUGAACAAUAACGCAUGGUGCACAAGUUCCUUGACUCUGAAACUUCAUAAAUCUGGCAUCACUGACACUACAGAACUCUUAAUCAUGGUCAGGGAGAAUAACAGAGGGGAACACAUUCACUUCAAAUACAGAAGUUGACGUUGUGGAAGAGAAACGAUUUAGAUCAUUACUUUAAAUGGAUUCAGUUAAAGUAACAAAUUAGAGGAGUGACACCAUGAAGAGGCCCUCAGCAGAAUGAGAAUAUGAAAAUGCAAGUGUUACCGCAUCAGAAACCAGGUUAGGUCACUGAAUACAGGGCUGAUGGGUGAAUGGGUCUCGGUGUGAACUGGGGGACAGUCAGUAGAAUUGAAUUGUAGAUAUUGUAGACCACAGCAGCAGCAGAAACAGAAUUGUAUUCAACGACAAUCUGUAACAUUUUCCUGAUGAUAAUUCUACCAUUACCAUCAAGCCGAUCCAUAGUUCAGUGAUGAGUGUGGGUGAACAUGCCAGGGUCGAAUCACGUGAACCUAAACCUGUUGACAACCCAUUAAAGCUACUGCAAUCAACUGGUUAAAUUCCGACCAGCAGAACUAAUGUCUGAUGGAGAGGGGAAAUGAUCCCAAGACUAACAGAUCAGACCUAAGCUCUGUCGUCCUGCCAAAUGCAAACAUAAAUGUCGAUGGACUAUUAAACAAUUUACUGGAGCAGAGUACUCCACAAAUAUUCUCAUCCUAAAUAUCGGAACAGCUCUGUACGUCAAUGAAAAAAGUCAAGGAUGUGGUGUCUGCACUAUCCUCAGCCAGACGUGUUGAGUGAAUGAUGAUCCACCUUACACUCAUCAUGUUUCCCACAGAAUCACAGAUGGUAGUGUUCAAACAAUUCGAUUUUCUGCCCGUGACGUGAAGAAACAGCUGAACACAGUAGAUACGACAAAGGCAAUGGGCCCUGACCCCAUUCCUGCAAUAGGACUGAAGAUUUGUGCUGCACAACAAGCCGUGUUCCUGGGGAAGUUGUUUCAUUCCAGCUCCAACUCUGACAUCUCUCUGGCAAUAUAGAAAAUUACUCAGCUAUGCCCAGUCCGUGAAUAGGAGAAUAAUUACAAUCGGACCUUUUACCACACCCUCAGUCGAAUCAUGACAGUCAAAUUGGUGGGAAUACUUUUUCUUAGAGCUGUCAAGUAGCACCGAAGUAAUCAGGUCAGUGUGGUUUCCGAUAGAUCCCCAUGUGGAGAUGGUGCUGUAGUGGAUAUAUCAUUGGAUUGCAAAUCCAGACUAGGCCAAUGCUUUGGCAGCUGGUGGAAGUUAAAAAUAAUUAAUAAAAUAUCGAGACCUAAAAUCUGGUGUCAGUAACAGUGAUCUUGUGUCCAAUGUUGAUUGUAAACAUCGAUCUCCUACACCAAUAUACUUCCAGGAAGUCAAUCUCCUGUGCUUUCUUGGUCAGGCGAAAAGUGACUCCAGACGCACAGACAUGGUCCCUGAAUCGGCCAAGUGAGACACUCAUUCGUAUCAAACUACUCUGAGGUCUUAAAGGAUAAAACUUGACAGAACACCCGGCAUCAACCUCGUUAAAGGAAAGGGAAUGGGAAACACAGUCCUGUUGACCCUGCAUAGACAUCCUUCCUAACAUCUGAGAGCUUGUGAUGGCAUUUAGAUUUGGUUUGAUUACUUACAGUGUGGAACCAGGCCCUUCGAACCAACAAGUCCACACCGACCCGCCGAAUCGCACCCACCCAGACCCA